CCUACGGGUGGCAGCAGUGGGGAAUAUUGCACAAUGGGGGAAACCCUGAUGCAGCGACGCCGCGUGAGCGAAGAAGUAUUUCGGUAUGUAAAGCUCUAUCAGCAGGGAAGAAAAUGACGGUACCUGAGUAAGAAGCCCCGGCUAACUACGUGCCAGCAGCCGCGGUAAUACGUAGGGGGCAAGCGUUAUCCGGAUUUACUGGGUGUAAAGGGAGCGCAGACGGCUGUGCAAGUCUGGAGUGAAAGGCGGGGGCCCAACCCCCGGACUGCGCGGGAAACUGUAAAGCUGGAGUGCAGGAGAGGUGAGCGGAAUUCCGAGUGUAGCGGUGAAAUGCGUAGAUAUUAGGAGGAACACCAGUGGCGAAGGCGGCUUACUGGACUGCAACUGACGUUGAGGCUCGAAAGCGUGGGGAGCAAACAGGAUUAGAUACCCGUGUAGUC
RNAcentral lists this ribosomal RNA (440 nucleotides) under uncultured bacterium. Its description in RNAcentral is "partial 16S ribosomal RNA". It matches the Rfam family "Bacterial small subunit ribosomal RNA", at positions 338 to 795 of the family's 1533-position model. The record is from RNAcentral.